AUGACUUACGUUCAGUCCCUGAAGCCCAUAUAAAAAAGUGAAAGGAAUUUGAGCUUGCUAUAGCAAGAAAGUCUAACCUAUUCCGGUGUUCUCUUCCUCAUGAGACAAGCUGUUAUACAGGCUCAAACAAU
Small nucleolar RNA from Myodes glareolus (Bank vole), 131 nucleotides. RefSeq annotates it as small nucleolar RNA SNORA28. NCBI's taxonomy places the organism in Eukaryota, Metazoa, Chordata, Mammalia, Rodentia, Cricetidae. The record is from RefSeq and is a predicted model, not a curated record.